RNAcentral lists this ribosomal RNA (250 nucleotides) under uncultured bacterium. RNAcentral describes it as "partial 16S ribosomal RNA". It matches the Rfam family "Bacterial small subunit ribosomal RNA", at positions 524 to 773 of the family's 1533-position model. The record is from RNAcentral.
UACGAAGGGGGCUAGCGUUGUUCGGAAUUACUGGGCGUAAAGCGUGCGCAGGCGGCCUUCCAAGUCAGGGGUGAAAGCCCAGAGCUCAACUCUGGAACUGCCCUUGAAACUGUUGGGCUUGAGUACGGGAGAGGUGAGUGGAAUUCCGAGUGUAGAGGUGAAAUUCGUAGAUAUUCGGAAGAACACCAGUGGCGAAGGCGGCUCACUGGACCGUAACUGACGCUCAUGCACGAUAGCGUGGGGAGCAAAC